AAUAUUGGACAAUGGGGGCAACCCUGAUCCAGCCAUGCCGCGUGUGUGAAGAUGGUCUUCGGAUUGUAAAGCACUUUAAGUUGGGAGGAAGGGCUUUAGGUUAAUACCCUGAAGUUUUGACGUUACCAACAGAAUAAGUACCGGCUAACUCUGUGCUAGCAGCCGCGGGAAUACAUAGGGUCCAAGGGUUAAUCGGAAUUAAUGGGCGUAAAGCGCGCGUAGGUGGUUCAGUAAGAUGGGUGUGAAAUCCCCGGGCUUAACCUGGGAACUGCUUUCAUAACUGCUGAGCUAGAGUACGGUAGAGGGUAGUGGAAUUUCCUGUGUAGCGGUGAAAUGCGUAGAUAUAGGAAGGAACACCAGUGGCGAAGGCGACUACCUGGACUGAUACUGACACUGAGGUGCAAAAGCGUGGGGAGCAAACA
Molecule: ribosomal RNA, 422 nt
Filed under: uncultured bacterium
Lineage: Bacteria
Description: partial 16S ribosomal RNA
Rfam family: Bacterial small subunit ribosomal RNA
Source: RNAcentral